RNAcentral lists this ribosomal RNA (510 nucleotides) under uncultured bacterium. Its description in RNAcentral is "partial 16S ribosomal RNA". It matches the Rfam family "Bacterial small subunit ribosomal RNA", at positions 28 to 507 of the family's 1533-position model. The record is from RNAcentral.
GACGAACGCUGGCGGCGUGCUUAACACAUGCAAGUCGAACGAAGAGCGAUGGAAGCUUGCUUCUAUCAAUCUUAGUGGCGAACGGGUGAGUAACGCGUAAUCAACCUGCCCUUCAGAGGGGGACAACAGUUGGAAACGACUGCUAAUACCGCAUACGAUCUAACCUCGGCAUCGAGGAUAGAUGAAAGGUGGCCUCUACAUGUAAGCUAUCACUGAAGGAGGGGAUUCCGUCUGAUUAGCUAGUUGGAGGGGUAACGGCCCACCAAGGCGAUGAUCAGUAGCCGGUCUGAGAGGAUGAACGGCCACAUUGGGACUGAGACACGGCCCAGACUCCUACGGGAGGCAGCAGUGGGGAAUCUUCCGCAAUGGACGAAAGUCUGACGGAGCAACGCCGCGUGAGUGAUGACGGCCUUCGGGUUGUAAAGCUCUGUUAAUCGGGACGAAAGGCCUUCUUGCGAAUAGUGAGAAGGAUUGACGGUACCGGAAUAGAAAGCCACGGCUAACUACGUG